This 247-nucleotide long non-coding RNA is filed under the name Elaeis guineensis (African oil palm). Its description in RNAcentral is "long non-coding RNA (EGUI_LNC004247)". The record is from RNAcentral. Lineage: Eukaryota; Viridiplantae; Streptophyta; Magnoliopsida; Arecales; Arecaceae.
CAAAACUCCCUUGAUCAACUCUAUGGGAGAUUAGGUUAACCCAAGCCCAUGUACACCCAUGACUCGACCUAAUCUCACCUAUCCUGGGCCCAGACCUGGCCCAUAAAGAGUUGAUCCCUUGAGGCCCACAUAACCUAGACCUCAAGAACCCGAAAGGCCCACAGCCUUUCAACCUAGGGCCCAACUAGCCCUAGAGCCUCCAUGAAGCCCUCAUGAAUGAUGGACCUUGGUCUUAGCCUUGGUCCCC